RNAcentral lists this ribosomal RNA (492 nucleotides) under uncultured bacterium. RNAcentral describes it as "partial 16S ribosomal RNA". It matches the Rfam family "Bacterial small subunit ribosomal RNA", at positions 29 to 507 of the family's 1533-position model. The record is from RNAcentral.
AGUGAACGCUGGCGGUAGGCCUAACACAUGCAAGUCGAACGGCAGCACAGUAAGAGCUUGCUCUUACGGGUGGCGAGUGGCGGACGGGUGAGGAAUACAUCGGAAUCUACUUUUUCGUGGGGGAUAACGUAGGGAAACUUACGCUAAUACCGCAUACGACCUACGGGUGAAAGCAGGGGAUCUUCGGACCUUGCGCGAUUGAAUGAGCCGAUGUCGGAUUAGCUAGUUGGCGGGGUAAAGGCCCACCAAGGCGACGAUCCGUAGCUGGUCUGAGAGGAUGAUCAGCCACACUGGAACUGAGACACGGUCCAGACUCCUACGGGAGGCAGCAGUGGGGAAUAUUGGACAAUGGGCGCAAGCCUGAUCCAGCCAUACCGCGUGGGUGAAGAAGGCCUUCGGGUUGUAAAUCCCUUUUGUCGGGAAAGAAAAGCAGCAGGUUAAUACCCCGCUGUUCUGACGGUACCCAAAGAAUAAGCACCGGCUAACUUCGUG